Molecule: non-coding RNA, 992 nt
Organism: Macaca mulatta (Rhesus monkey)
Lineage: Eukaryota; Metazoa; Chordata; Mammalia; Primates; Cercopithecidae
Source: RefSeq, a predicted model, not a curated record
UGAUUCUCCUGCCUCAGCCUCCCAUGUAUCUGGAAUUACAGGCUCCCACCACCACAUCAAGACAGGAGAGGAAUUUCAAGGAUUAUCUUGCCUCUAUGAAGUGUAACUUUAAAGAGAAGGUGGAUGAGCUUCUAGAGAGCUACCAAGACAGUCACUACCUCAUCAUUAGUAAAAACUGUGUUUACUUCCGAUGUGUAAUAAACCCUACGCGACCAUUUGGGGGCGCCAGAGUACAGCACAGACUGGCGGAGCCCACGCCCGGGGAAUGCAACAACUGGUUCAACUGCUCCACGCUGAUUAAUAAUCAAACUACUACUGUGUGGGGCCUAUCUUCCUAUUGGACCUCAAAACCCACUUACUCCACAAGUUUAUCUUCACAAUUAUGAGCUACCCACUUCACGUCACACUCCAGCACCUAAAAGCAAAUAAUAAAGUUUAUUCUUGAGUUAACCGGCCUCUGUGUUCAGCCAAUCCCUCCUGUACGUGAGUGAUGCACCUGGAUGCUACAUAAAGACAGGCGGAAAUACCUAAGGUGUGGUCCUUACUCCCAAGGGGCUUACAGCAGCGUGAAGACUCGAAAGCAAGCACACCCACACCCACAACACAGCCGCUGGCACACACAGCAGGAGAGACACCGGGUUUAAUGGAGCAGAGAAAGUGGGCGUCAUCUCCAGGCACAGCUCCAUGAAGAUGACAUUGACCUGGGAGCUCUGAGCCUUCAUAUAAUGGUUAAGCUUUCAGCCGGAAGAAAUCCCAAGUGGAGAAAUAGGAAACUAUAAAAGAGCAGUCGUUUUGGAUUCACAAAACCUGCCUGAGUGAACCUGGAUGUACAUGCACAUAACCUAAGGAUCAGUUCUGGAGUGACCUGGGGCCUAGGAAAGCCGAAGGGCAGGAUUCAGUCAUGCAGUGAAGAGAGGGACUAAUGAAAGGCCUGAAUGACAGAGUUUCGUUCUUGCUGCCCAGGCUGGAGUGCAAUGGCGCUUUUUCUGCUC